GAUGAACGCUGGCGGCGUGCCUAAUACAUGCAAGUCGAGCGAACAGACGAGGAGCUUGCUCCUCUGACGUUAGCGGCGGACGGGUGAGUAACACGUGGAUAACCUACCUAUAAGACUGGGAUAACUUCGGGAAACCGGAGCUAAUACCGGAUAAUAUAUUGAACCGCAUGGUUCAAUAGUGAAAGACGGUUUUGCUGUCACUUAUAGAUGGAUCCGCGCCGCAUUAGCUAGUUGGUAAGGUAACGGCUUACCAAGGCAACGAUGCGUAGCCGACCUGAGAGGGUGAUCAGCCACACUGGAACUGAGACACGGUCCAGACUCCUACGGGAGGCAGCAGUAGGGAAUCUGCCGCAAUGGGCGAAAGCCUGACGGAGCAACGCCGCGGGAGUGAUGAAGGUCUUCGGAUCGUAAAACUCUGUUAUUAGGGAAGAACAAAUGUGUAAGUAACUAUGCACGUCUUGACGGUACCUAAUCAGAAAGCCACGGCUAACUACGUG
Molecule: ribosomal RNA, 497 nt
Filed under: uncultured bacterium
Lineage: Bacteria
Description: partial 16S ribosomal RNA
Rfam family: Bacterial small subunit ribosomal RNA
Source: RNAcentral